Molecule: ribosomal RNA, 468 nt
Filed under: uncultured bacterium
Lineage: Bacteria
Description: partial 16S ribosomal RNA
Rfam family: Bacterial small subunit ribosomal RNA
Source: RNAcentral
GACGAACGCUGGCGGCGUGCUUAACACAUGCAAGUCGAACGGAAAGGCCCUGCUUUUGUGCGGUGCUCGAGUGGCGAACGGGUGCGUAACACGUGAGUAACCUGCCCUUGACUUUGGGAUAACUUCAGGAAACUGGGGCUAAUCCCGGAUAGGAGCUCCUGCUGCAUGGUAGGCGUUGGAACGUUUCGGCGGUUGGGGUUGGAUGCGCGGCUUAUGAGCUUGUUGGUGGGGUAGUGGCUUACCAAGGCUUUGGCGGGUAGCCGGCCUGGGAGGGUGACCGGGCACAAUGGGACUACGGGAGGGCCCAGAGGCCAACGGGGGGCAGCAGUGGCAAAUAUUGCACAAUGGGCCGAAGCCGGAUGCAACAACGCCGCGUGCGGGAUGACGGUCUUCGGGGAGUAAACCGCUUUCGCCUGUGACGAAGCGUUUGUGACGGUAAUGGGUAAAGAAGCACCGGCUAACUACGCG